This 496-nucleotide ribosomal RNA is filed under the name uncultured bacterium. RNAcentral's name for it is "partial 16S ribosomal RNA". It matches the Rfam family "Bacterial small subunit ribosomal RNA", at positions 28 to 506 of the family's 1533-position model. The record is from RNAcentral.
GAUGAACGCUGGCGGCGUGCCUAAUACAUGCAAGUCGAGCGAACAGACGAGGAGCUUGCUCCUUUGACGUUAGCGGCGGACGGGUGAGUAACACGUAGGUAACCUACCUAUAAGACUGGGAUAACUUCGGGAAACCGGAGCUAAUACCGGAUAAUAUUUCGAACCGCAUGGUUCGAUAGUGAAAGAUGGCUUUGCUAUCACUUAUAGAUGGACCUGCGCCGUAUUAGCUAGUUGGUAAGGUAACGGCUUACCAAGGCAACGAUACGUAGCCGACCUGAGAGGGUGAUCGGCCACACUGGAACUGAGACACGGUCCAGACUCCUACGGGAGGCAGCAGUAGGGAAUCUUCCGCAAUGGGCGAAAGCCUGACGGAGCAACGCCGCGUGAGUGAUGAAGGUCUUCGGAUCGUAAAACUCUGUUAUUAGGGAAGAACAAACGUGUAAGUAACUGUGCACGUCUUGACGGGACCUAAUCAGAAAGCCACGGCUAACUACGU